Molecule: long non-coding RNA, 1032 nt
Filed under: Cricetulus griseus (Chinese hamster)
Lineage: Eukaryota; Metazoa; Chordata; Mammalia; Rodentia; Cricetidae
Description: lncRNA (ENSCGRG00015037496.1)
Source: RNAcentral
GGUCUCUGGGCCUUAUAGAAGCUCUGUGGCUGUGUGCCACAAGCCAUCCUCAUCAGGACAAGCCCCAGUGAAUGCAUUUCAGAGUGCCUCUGUCUUUCUUUACUCCUGAGCAGUUAGCCUGUCUCGCCUGCUCUGCUGCUAUUUUAGAGUACAGCGCCCCACGGGAGCCUGCAGCCUUUAUCUAUAGGAAAACCAGCAGGAAUUUUUCUGCACUGGGCAGAUUCUCAUGUUUCUUUCCUUUUUUCACUCACUAAGCGAUUUUGAAAAGUCAGGAGCCAAUUUCAUUGUGAUGGUGGGAGAGGGAGGCACAUUUGAGGCCUGAGCCGUUGUUUCAGGACACUGAGGCUUGGAUGAGGGAUAUUUGGCCAAUGGAAAGUCAGGAUAUAGCCAGGCAGGAAAUAUAGGCAGAGCUAUGAAACUAGGAGAAUUUGGGGAGGAGGAACACAGACAGAGUCAUGAGAAUAUGCCAUGUAGCUACCUAGAAGGUAGGAUGGGUGCUUGGGUAUUCUCCAGUAAGCCAAGACUACAUGGAGAUACAUGGAUUGAUAGAAAUUGAUUAAUAAUUAAGAAAGAGCUAGCCAAUAAGUAGCCUGAGCCAUUGGCCAAACAGUUUAUAAUAACAAAAUAACAAUAUCACACUUCUAACUGAUAAUAUCUUGCUGCAUCAGCUCCCUAUCCAUAUCCAUACUCUCCCUGUCAACUACCUGUCCCUCCAUCCUUCCCUCUCCAGACUAACGUCUUCAGCGGGCACAGAAGCACCCUUUGCUGACUGCCAUGGCACAUCCCCUAUCUAAGACUCUCUGUGACCCAGGGCCAGCAACAUCAGCCCCACCAGGCUCACCAACUCCAAAGCCCUGGAGUGUGCCCAGCACCCAUGUUAUGAAAAGCUUGUGUGAUGGCUGAUACAGCUGAAUUUCAAGAUGCAUUGGCUGUCAAAGAGAAAGGCUGUGAGAUGUACCUCCCACAGAGAGCAAUUCAUUUCCAGAAGUCAGUGACUGAUCAGACAUCAGAUAUUUGUCCCAGUCUCGGCCC